RNAcentral lists this ribosomal RNA (637 nucleotides) under uncultured bacterium. RNAcentral describes it as "bacterial SSU rRNA". It matches the Rfam family "Bacterial small subunit ribosomal RNA", at positions 607 to 1244 of the family's 1533-position model. The record is from RNAcentral.
GCUCAACCGGGGAGGGUCAUUGGAAACUGGGGAACUUGAGUGCAGAAGAGGAGAGUGGAGUUCCACGUGUAGCGGUGAAAUGCGUAGAGAUGUGGAGGAACACCAGUGGCGAAGGCGACUCUCUGGUCUGUAACUGACGCUGAGGCGCGAAAGCGUGGGGAGCGAACAGGAUUAGAUACCCUGGUAGUCCACGCCGUAAACGAUGAGUGCUAAGUGUUAGAGGGUUUCCGCCCUUUAGUGCUGCAGCAAACGCAUUAAGCACUCCGCCUGGGGAGUACGGUCGCAAGACUGAAACUCAAAGGAAUUGACGGGGGCCCGCACAAGCGGUGGAGCAUGUGGUUUAAUUCGAAGCAACGCGAAGAACCUUACCAGGUCUUGACAUCCUCUGACAACCCUAGAGAUAGGGCUUCCCCUUCGGGGGCAGAGUGACAGGUGGUGCAUGGUUGUCGUCAGCUCGUGUCGUGAGAUGUUGGGUUAAGUCCCGCAACGAGCGCAACCCUUGAUCUUAGUUGCCAGCAUUCAGUUGGGCACUCUAAGGUGACUGCCGGUGACAAACCGGAGGAAGGUGGGGAUGACGUCAAAUCAUCAUGCCCCUUAUGACCUGGGCUACACACGUGCUACAAUGGGCAGAACAAAG